GGGGCCGACCGGAAUUGACAGGAUGGCGGCAAGUAUGUAAGCAUGCAGCGCAUUGUGAGUAAAGCGCUUAAAUCUGAACUCUCAACCUUAUAAAUGGCGAAAAUAACUACGCCUUAGCUGCCUAAUUUAGAAUUAGCAUAGCUUUUGUCCCGCUAACGGUUUUGUUCUGUACCGGUAGCAAACGGGGCAUCGAUUCACAGAACUGGCUGUAUUAACGGUGCGAUAAUACGGCGAGAUCAAGCACCUAAGGAAGACGGUACAGGCAAGCGACUGGCCUUCCCCUUCCCGACAAUUGAACAGAAGCUAAGCAUGUAGAAAGCAUAAUUUGUUCCAUGUUUGGACGAGGGUUCGAAUCCCUCCGGCUCCACUU
Molecule: transfer-messenger RNA, 370 nt
Filed under: Sphingobacteriaceae
Lineage: Bacteria; Pseudomonadati; Bacteroidota; Sphingobacteriia; Sphingobacteriales
Also listed under: 1 other name
Description: BS3 sp008274585 Standard tmRNA
Rfam family: transfer-messenger RNA
About the family: Bacterial tmRNA, also known as 10Sa RNA or SsrA, is named for its dual tRNA and mRNA-like properties.
Source: RNAcentral